GGGGACAUAGCUCAGCUGGGAGAGCGCUUGCAUGGCAUGUAAGAGGUCGUCGGAUCAAUCCCGAUUGUCUCCACCA
This 76-nucleotide transfer RNA is filed under the name Moraxellaceae bacterium. Its description in RNAcentral is "tRNA-Ala". It matches the Rfam family "tRNA". From Rfam's summary of the family: Transfer RNA (tRNA) molecules are approximately 80 nucleotides in length. Their secondary structure includes four short double-helical elements and three loops (D, anti-codon, and T loops). The record is from RNAcentral. Lineage: Bacteria; Pseudomonadati; Pseudomonadota; Gammaproteobacteria; Moraxellales; Moraxellaceae.